UACGGAGGAUGCGAGCGUUAUCCGGAUUUAUUGGGUCUAAAGGGUGCGUAGGCGGACGCUUAAGUCAGCGGUAAAAUUGCGGGGCUCAACCUCGUCGAGCCGUUGAAACUGGGUGCCUUGAGUGGGCGAGAAGUACGCAGAAUGCGUGGUGUAGCGGUGAAAUGCAUAGAUAUCACGCAGAACUCCGAUUGCGAAGGCAGCGUACCGGCGCCCAACUGACGCUGAAGCACGAAGGCGUGGGUAUCGAACAGG
This 252-nucleotide ribosomal RNA is filed under the name uncultured bacterium. Its description in RNAcentral is "partial 16S ribosomal RNA". It matches the Rfam family "Bacterial small subunit ribosomal RNA", at positions 524 to 776 of the family's 1533-position model. The record is from RNAcentral.